GAGAACAUAUCCAAAUUUAUCAAGAUGUAAGGCCUGUGGCAUUCAACCAAUGGAUCUUAACACUCCCAUUCUCAUCCCUUUAUGGAGUGUGGCGGUUAACCAUACCGUAGGUUUCUAUCUCUCAAUAGAUAACACGUUCGGAUUCUUCUACUUUGUUGAUACUUUCAAUUCCUUAACAAACUUUAUAGAAAACGGGUUGGG
Molecule: long non-coding RNA, 201 nt
Filed under: Gossypium raimondii (Peruvian cotton)
Lineage: Eukaryota; Viridiplantae; Streptophyta; Magnoliopsida; Malvales; Malvaceae
Description: long non-coding RNA (GRAI_LNC009729)
Source: RNAcentral